RNAcentral lists this long non-coding RNA (904 nucleotides) under Mus pahari (shrew mouse). RNAcentral's name for it is "RIKEN cDNA 2210414B05 gene (MGP_PahariEiJ_G0005254.1)". Lineage: Eukaryota; Metazoa; Chordata; Mammalia; Rodentia; Muridae. The record is from RNAcentral.
CCCCUAAGCUGUGGGCGAGAGUAGGCUGAAGCCUGAAGCCUGGCCUGCCCCACCCACCCCCAGAGACACCCCAGCAAGUUCAAUGUUUGUGAGGUUCAAGUUCCAUGGCUAACAGUAGGGACCAUUCCCAAGCAUCAGAGAAGCUAGCAUACAAUGCCCUGUUCUCAUGACUUCAACCAACCUUGAGUAUCUACUAAGUAAAUGCCCAUUGUUCAAAUACUGCCAACAUACAAACUUAAAAAAUGCAAACUACAGGGAACUAUAAGUAUUUCCUGCAGAAGAAACAUUUCGUUGACUCCCUAUACUGACAAGAGUGGAGCACACAGGCCACCAUUUCUUUUUCCUUUAUCUUUACUUUGAUUUUCACACUUGACUGAGAUCUGGUCACAACACAGCUCUUGGACCUGGAGUUGAAUUGGCUGUUCUUCCCACAACUCAAAGAGUUAUCUUUGGCCUGUUACUGAAGAAAGAAUCACCCUGAGUAGACAUCCCUGUGGAGUGGCAGACUCACUAUCCCAUGCCAAUACACGGCAGUUGGGAAGCUGGGCUAGGUGGAUGACUGCAAGUUUGAGACCAGCUAGAGCUAUGUAGUGAAUUCUAGAUUGCCCAGAGAUUGGCAGAAUCUAAAUCUCAUCGACAGCCAAGAGGACCAUCACACCUUCCAAAGGUUUCACGACUUUCCAGCCUCAUCACACUCAUCACAAACUAGUAACUAAGCAUUUAGCAGAUGGGCUGUGGGACACAUGAAUGCUCAAACCCAUAUAUAUAUAUAUAUGAUAUACAGGCCUAAUAUAUCUAUAUAUCUAUAUCUAUAUCUAUAUCUAUCUAUUCAUGGCCUCUUCGUUGUAAUGAAAACUGCUUAAAUAUUUGAAGAUUUCUCCUUUCCCUAAAGUGAAAGAAUUUG